AUGGCUAAACCUUUGGAAUGUGUGCAUUGCAAAGAGAUUGAAUCGGUUUACCACCUCUUUUUUGAAUGUAUAGUUGCCAGAAAAUUCUGGAACGACAUUGAAAACUUGUUCAAUGUACGAAUAGUGGACUUUGAGUCGCUUGCAAAAUUGUGGCUGUGCAAGAAAAAACAUAUGCUUCUUAAUGUAGUUACCUCUGCUAUCCUGUGGGGAUUGUGGAACUUUAGAAAUGCUAUUGUCUUUAAUAGGAUCUCUUGGCUGUCAAUGAAGCAGGUGAUGGGGAUGGUGUCCAGGUAUCUGAGGGAUUGGACAAAACCAUUUCCAGAACUGCAAUCGGGCGCAGUAAGGGCCUUUCAGGAUUGGCUGUGGGCGAGUCUGAAAGCACCGUUUGCCCUGGAGCCGGACUGA
Molecule: ribosomal RNA, 405 nt
Filed under: Triticum aestivum (bread wheat)
Lineage: Eukaryota; Viridiplantae; Streptophyta; Magnoliopsida; Poales; Poaceae
Description: partial small subunit ribosomal RNA
Source: RNAcentral